CCCCGCCCCUGCGCCGUGGCGAUUGGCUGCGGUGAGCGGAGGCCGCUCGCUCAUUGGCUGAGCACCAUCGGCGCGGAGGGGCCCGGCGGCGGCAUGGUUCGCUUCAAGAACAGGUACGUGCUGUGCGAGGUGCUCUCGGAGGACCCGCGGUGCCGGCAGUGCAUCGAGGACCGCGCGGUGGGCCUCGCCGUCAGGGACGCCGUCGCGCGGGCGCACGGGGACUACGGGCUGGGCUGCUGCUGCGUGUCCUUCACAGUGAAGUACCUGAACGCGUACACCGGCACCGUGCUGCUGCGCUGCCGCAAGGACUUCCAGCGCCUGCUGAGCUCGGCGCUGCCGCUCGUCCGGCACCUGGAGAGCCGCGGGCAGCGCUUCCCCUGCGCGCUGCGCACGCUGCACGUGGGCGGUACCAUCAGAACCUGUCAGAAGUUUCUCAUCCAGUAUAACAGAAGGCAGCUGCUGCUGCUGCUGCAGAAGUGUACGAGUGAAGAGGAGAAGCGCAGCGUGCGGCAGGCGGUGCUGAGCUGCUCCCUCACAGAAGAGCAGGCGCAGAGCGGGGAGGAGGAGGAGGAGGAUGGCACAGAGACAGACUGAGCAGCACUUGUUCGCCUUUGUUCUGGACCUGGCUAUCAUCAAAGCGAUACCAAGUAUCCUCCUGUGUUAAGUAAAGCAAGUAAAGGUUUCUUGCCUCUUUUAUUCCAGGAUUCAAACCUUUGACUGCUCCAAAGGAGCGAAGCUCAAUGUGAUCUUUGUGCUGAGGUAGAAGUGAGCUUCAGCCAGUUGGUAUGGGAAAGAAAUGUAGUUAAGCUCCCUCGGUACAGACAGCAAUAACUUUAGUUUUUGCCCUUAUCUUCCAGUGCAGCUGUUCUUGAAAGGGUUGUCUGGUGUUUCAAGUCACAAAAGCACUGAUUGUCUACAGGAGCAUGGACUACAGGGAACACAAGUUACAGGAAAGUAGCACUGCUGCUCACAUCUCUUGAAUCCAUUGGAAAACAAAACACAACUUGAAGAUCUGCCCAAUGGAGGCUGCCCCUGCACGCAGGAGAGCCUUCUUUG
Molecule: RNA transcript, 1056 nt
Organism: Lagopus muta (rock ptarmigan)
Lineage: Eukaryota; Metazoa; Chordata; Aves; Galliformes; Phasianidae
Gene: POP5
Gene name: POP5 homolog, ribonuclease P/MRP subunit
Exons: 7
Source: RefSeq, a predicted model, not a curated record